CCUACGGGGGGCUGCAGUCGAGAAUCAUUGUCAAUGGGCGAAAGCCUGAACGUGCGACGCCGCGUGUGGGAUGAAGGCCUUCGGGUUGUAAACCACUGUCAGGGGGAAGGAAUAAGCGUGUAACCCACGCGAUGACUUAUACCCCAGAGGAAGUGACGGCUAACUACGUGCCAGCAGCUGCGGUAAUACGUAGGUCACGAACGUUAUUCGGAAUCACUGGGCUUAAAGGGCGCGUAGGCGGCUUCGUAAGUUAUGGUUGAAAUCCGGCGGCUCACCCGUCGAACUGGCCAUAAGACUGCGGAGCUUGAGGUGCGGAGGGAUGCGUGGAACUUGUGGUGGAGCGGUGAAAUGCCCAGAUAUCACAGGGAACACCGGUGGCGAAGGCGACGCAUUGGCCGCAAUCUGACGCUGAGGCGCGAAAGCAUGGGGAGCGAACGGGCUUAGAUACCCGUGUAGUC
This 458-nucleotide ribosomal RNA is filed under the name uncultured bacterium. RNAcentral describes it as "bacterial SSU rRNA". It matches the Rfam family "Bacterial small subunit ribosomal RNA", at positions 338 to 795 of the family's 1533-position model. The record is from RNAcentral.